GACAGAGGGUGCAAACGUUGUUCGGAAUUACUGGGCGUAAAGCGCGUGUAGGCUGCUCUGCAAGUCGGAUGUGAAAGCCCUGGGCUCAACCUAGGAAGUGCACUCGAAACUGCAGAGCUUGAGUCCUGGAGAGGAAGGCGGAAUUUACGGUGUAGCGGUGAAAUGCGUAGAUAUCGUAAGGAAGACCAGUGGCGAAGGCGGGUCUCUGGACAGUUCCUGACGCUGAGGCACGAAGGUCAGGGGAGCAAACGGG
Molecule: ribosomal RNA, 253 nt
Filed under: uncultured bacterium
Lineage: Bacteria
Description: partial 16S ribosomal RNA
Rfam family: Bacterial small subunit ribosomal RNA
Source: RNAcentral